RNAcentral lists this ribosomal RNA (813 nucleotides) under Nocardia iowensis. RNAcentral describes it as "bacterial SSU rRNA". It matches the Rfam family "Bacterial small subunit ribosomal RNA", at positions 65 to 893 of the family's 1533-position model. Lineage: Bacteria; Bacillati; Actinomycetota; Actinomycetes; Mycobacteriales; Nocardiaceae. The record is from RNAcentral.
AGCGGUAAGGCCCUUCGGGGUACACGAGCGGCGAACGGGUGAGUAACACGUGGGUGAUCUGCCUCGCACUUCGGGAUAAGCCUGGGAAACUGGGUCUAAUACCGGAUAUGACCUUCCAGUGCAUGCUGGUGGGUGGAAAGAUUUAUCGGUGCGAGAUGGGCCCGCGGCCUAUCAGCUUGUUGGCGGGGUAACGGCCCACCAAGGCGACGACGGGUAGCCGACCUGAGAGGGUGACCGGCCACACUGGGACUGAGACACGGCCCAGACUCCUACGGGAGGCAGCAGUGGGGAAUAUUGCACAAUGGGCGAAAGCCUGAUGCAGCGACGCCGCGUGAGGGAUGACGGCCUUCGGGUUGUAAACCUCUUUCGACAGGGACGAAGCGAAAGUGACGGUACCUGUAGAAGAAGCACCGGCCAACUACGUGCCAGCAGCCGCGGUAAUACGUAGGGUGCGAGCGUUGUCCGGAAUUACUGGGCGUAAAGAGCUUGUAGGCGGUCUGUCGCGUCUUCUGUGAAAACUUGGGGCUCAACCUUAAGCUUGCAGGCGAUACGGGCAGACUAGAGUACUUCAGGGGAGACUGGAAUUCCUGGUGUAGCGGUGAAAUGCGCAGAUAUCAGGAGGAACACCGGUGGCGAAGGCGGGUCUCUGGGAAGUAACUGACGCUGAGAAGCGAAAGCGUGGGUAGCGAACAGGAUUAGAUACCCUGGUAGUCCACGCCGUAAACGGUGGGUACUAGGUGUGGGUUUCCUUCCACGGGAUCCGUGCCGUAGCUAACGCAUUAAGUACCCCGCCUGGGGAGUACGGCCGCAAGG